UUCCCUCCUACGGCUCUCUGCAGAGGUACCAGAUGCAGAGGGAGGAGGUUGGGAUGA
MicroRNA precursor from Monodelphis domestica (gray short-tailed opossum), 57 nucleotides. The record is from Ensembl. NCBI's taxonomy places the organism in Eukaryota, Metazoa, Chordata, Mammalia, Didelphimorphia, Didelphidae.